Ceratotherium simum simum (southern white rhinoceros) is the source of this 88-nucleotide non-coding RNA. NCBI's taxonomy places the organism in Eukaryota, Metazoa, Chordata, Mammalia, Perissodactyla, Rhinocerotidae. The record is from RefSeq and is a predicted model, not a curated record.
UGCUGCCUGAAGGAAACUUACUUCAACUUUAAGGACACAAACAGACUGAAAGUGAAGGGAUGGAAAGAGAUAUUCUACACAAAUGGAA